UACGGAGGGUGCAAGCGUUAUCCGGAUUCACUGGGUUUAAAGGGUGCGUAGGUGGGCAAGUAAGUCAGUGGUGAAAUCUCCGGGCUUAACCCGGAAACUGCCAUUGAUACUAUUUGUCUUGAAUACUGUGGAGGUCAGCGGAAUAUGUCAUGUAGCGGUGAAAUGCUUAGAUAUGACAUAGAACACCAAUUGCGAAGGCAGCUGGCUACACAAAUAUUGACACUGAGGCACGAAAGCGUGGGGAUCAGACAGG
This 253-nucleotide ribosomal RNA is filed under the name uncultured bacterium. RNAcentral's name for it is "partial 16S ribosomal RNA". It matches the Rfam family "Bacterial small subunit ribosomal RNA", at positions 524 to 776 of the family's 1533-position model. The record is from RNAcentral.